Molecule: ribosomal RNA, 498 nt
Filed under: uncultured bacterium
Lineage: Bacteria
Description: partial 16S ribosomal RNA
Rfam family: Bacterial small subunit ribosomal RNA
Source: RNAcentral
AUUGAACGCUGGCGGCAGGCCUAACACAUGCAAGUCGAACGGUAACAGGCCGCAAGGUGCUGACGAGUGGCGAACGGGUGAGUAAUACAUCGGAACGUGCCCGAUCGUGGGGGAUAACGCAGCGAAAGCUGUGCUAAUACCGCAUACGAUCUACGGAUGAAAGCGGGGGAUCGCAAGACCUCGCGCGGACGGAGCGGCCGAUGGCAGAUUAGGUAGUUGGUGGGGUAAAGGCCUACCAAGCCGACGAUCUGUAGCUGGUCUGAGAGGACGACCAGCCACACUGGGACUGAGACACGGCCCAGACUCCUACGGGAGGCAGCAGUGGGGAAUUUUGGACAAUGGGCGCAAGCCUGAUCCAGCCAUGCCGCGUGCAGGAUGAAGGCCUUCGGGUUGUAAACUGCUUUUGUACGGAACGAAAAGGUUUCUUUUAAUACAGGGAACUGAUGACGGUACCGUAAGAAUAAGCACCGGCUAACUACGUGCCAGCCGCCGCCGUAA